AAAGGGAUUAAGUUUUCCCUUUCUCGCCGAAAACCCUAUUCGCCCUUUCUUUCUCUUGCGACGGCGCGCGACGGUCUCGGGCGGAAACGCAGCAAGGUUAGGGUUCUUCCUCCGGCGGCCGGCGAGGGGUUUUUUCCGAGAAUCCUUCUCAUCCUCGUGAUCUCCCCGACGUGGAGAGCCCGUGGACGCGUAGAAGGUGCUGUGAUUUCGAGUCUCGCCGAAUCCUAGCAACCCUUUUCUUCGGUUGUAAGUCCAAGAACGCUCGAUAAAGGAAAGGAAAAGAUUUAGCAAGGAAGGCGACAAGGUGGUGGUGAUGAAGGUGUGUGAUGACUGGACUAUGGAGAGAUCCAGAGUUUGCUAGCAUAUGUUCAGGAUUUACCUGUUUAGAGUCUCAGUUUAUGUUCUAGUUCUCUUUAAAUGUUAUUAUGAGUUGAGAUUGUAAUUAAGUUUAUUCCGCACUUGUAGUUGGGUCCUAUUGUUGGAGUGAUAUAGUUGUUUGCUAUUGUUAGAGUAGUUCCUUCUUUUUA
Zingiber officinale is the source of this 527-nucleotide long non-coding RNA. RefSeq lists it as uncharacterized. The transcript is spliced from 2 exons. NCBI's taxonomy places the organism in Eukaryota, Viridiplantae, Streptophyta, Magnoliopsida, Zingiberales, Zingiberaceae. The record is from RefSeq and is a predicted model, not a curated record.